Molecule: ribosomal RNA, 403 nt
Filed under: uncultured bacterium
Lineage: Bacteria
Description: bacterial SSU rRNA
Rfam family: Bacterial small subunit ribosomal RNA
Source: RNAcentral
UGGGGAAUAUUAGUAAUGGGCGAAAGCCUGAACUAGCAACGCCGCGUGUGCGAAGAAGGCCUUCGGGUUGUAAAGCACUUUUUGAGAGGAUGAGGAAGGACGGUACUCUCAGAAUAAGUCUCGGCUAACUACGUGCCAGCAGCCGCGGUAACACGUAGGAGGCAAACGUUAUCCGGACUUACUGGGCGUAAAGCGCGGGUAGGUGGUUUGGUAAGUAGGGCGUGAAAGCUCCUGGCUCAACUGGGGGAGGACGUUCUAAACUGCCAAGCUUGAGGAUGGUAGGGGGAGGUGGAAUUCCGGGUGUAGCGGGGGAAUGCGAAGAUAUACGGAGGAACACCAGUGGCGAAGGCAGCCUCCUGGACCACUCCUGACACUCAGACGCGAAAGCUAGGGUAGCAAACGG